UACGUAGGUGGCAAGCGUUGUCCGGAAUUAUUGGGCGUAAAGCGCGCGCAGGUGGUUUCUUAAGUCUGAUGUGAAAGCCCACGGCUCAACCGUGGAGGGUCAUUGGAAACUGGGGAACUUGAGUGCAGGAGAGAAGAGUGGAAUUCCACGUGUAGCGGUGAAAUGCGUAGAGAUGUGGAGGAACACCAGUGGCGAAGGCGACUCUUUGGCCUGUAACUGACACUAAGGCGCGAAAGCGUGGGGAGCAAACAGG
Molecule: ribosomal RNA, 253 nt
Filed under: uncultured bacterium
Lineage: Bacteria
Description: partial 16S ribosomal RNA
Rfam family: Bacterial small subunit ribosomal RNA
Source: RNAcentral